Small nucleolar RNA from Myotis lucifugus (little brown bat), 108 nucleotides. Its record names the gene SNORA70. It matches the Rfam family "Small nucleolar RNA SNORA70". From Rfam's summary of the family: snoRNA U70 seems to be exclusive to mammals and is a member of the H/ACA class of snoRNA which contain H (ANANNA) and ACA box motifs. H/ACA box snoRNAs are involved in the conversion of uridines to pseudouridines (5-ribosyluracil) a constituent of structural RNAs (transfer, ribosomal, small nuclear, and small nucleolar). NCBI's taxonomy places the organism in Eukaryota, Metazoa, Chordata, Mammalia, Chiroptera, Vespertilionidae. The record is from Ensembl.
AUCCAAUUAAAAAAUGGGCACAUGCAAUGGCUGCAAACAGCAGCAUCCUUGGUAGUGUACGCAACCUGUUGCUAGUAUGGAUUGCCUUAAGGGACCUUGGAUACAGCC